Molecule: long non-coding RNA, 749 nt
Organism: Panicum virgatum (switchgrass)
Lineage: Eukaryota; Viridiplantae; Streptophyta; Magnoliopsida; Poales; Poaceae
Exons: 2
Source: RefSeq, a predicted model, not a curated record
UAGCCAUUUUCAUUUUAUUUAUUGCCCAGUCGUCUCUAUCCUCAUUCUUCCCCUUCCACACUCUCUCCUUCUCAGUUCGUUCAAAAAAAACACCCUCUCCCACCCCUCAGAUCCCGGCGGCCGGCGGCAGCGGCGCGAGCACUGCAGCAAGGUCGCGCGGCUCCGGCUUCACGGCAGCAGAGGCUCCGGGGCGUGGCGGUGUGGAUCCCGGCGGCGGGGAAGGCUCGCACGGCUCCGGCGUCUAGGCAGCGGCGGCUACGACACAGGAGCACGUGGCAGCGCGGAUUCCAGCGGCGGGGCGAGCUCGCGCGGCUCCGGCAUCACAGCAGUGGUGGAUCCAACGCGUGAGUGCGUGGCGGCGCAGAUCCCGGCUGUGGGGCGAGCUCGCGCGGCACCGGCGUCCCGGCAGCGGCGGCUCCGUCUUGUGAGCUCGUGGCAGCCCGGAUCCCAGUGGCGGGGCGAUGGAGCGAGCAGUACAGCGCUGCCCCUCCCACAGUUGAGUGGAUAUCUUCAAUCUGAUUUUUUUCCUGAUCUGAAUGAUGGGCAUUGCAGGCUAAAAGAUCAAACUGAAUAUGUGCAACCCAAGUUUGCUAAUUGCUGGGCAGUGUAGCUCUUUUGUGCUAUGUAAUAGGCUAAUAGCGCAGAGUUAUCCAUGUACUCUGAUUUGUUCUUCAGCUUCUUAUGUAAACAAAGACAUGUAAAUAUAUGUUAUGAGAUGUCUUAAUCGAAGGACAAUUUCUUUUGAUAAA